RNAcentral lists this ribosomal RNA (253 nucleotides) under uncultured bacterium. Its description in RNAcentral is "partial 16S ribosomal RNA". It matches the Rfam family "Bacterial small subunit ribosomal RNA", at positions 524 to 776 of the family's 1533-position model. The record is from RNAcentral.
UACGUAGGGUGCAAGCGUUGUCCGGAAUUAUUGGGCGUAAAGAGCUCGUAGGCGGUUUGUCGCGUCUGCUGUGAAAACUCGGGGCUUAACCCCGGGCCUGCAGUGGAUACUGGCAGGCUGGAGUAUGGUAGAGGAAGGUGGAAUUCCCGGUGUAGCAGUGAAAUGCGUAGAGAUCGGGAAGAACACCCGUGGCGAAGGCGGCUCCCUGGGACGGUACUGACGCUGAGACGCGAAAGCGUGGGGAGCGAACAGG